AUGAAUGCGGUGAUCAUACACCCGGGCUGGCGAAAAACCCUGAGGCUCGUCGAAGAGGUCGCGGUGCUGCUGCAGGAGGUGAUCCAGCAAGGGAUGCUCGGGCUCGGCGGCGGCCGCGGCCAGCUGAACCUGUGGCGUCGCCGGAGAGGCACCACCCACGUCCUCCCACCGGACGCGGCGACCCUGGCGCCAGAAGGUCAUCGUCAGGGCGUCGAAGUUCCAGAGGAUGGGACCAAGGGUCUGCAAGAAGUCGACGCUGAGGAUGAAGUCGAAGCAGCCCAAGUCGAUGCCCGCACACGUGAUGGUGAAGUGCUCGUCGCCAGUAGUAAUGGGCACGUUCCGCGCCAGCCCAUGACACCGGAGGCGAUCGCCGUUAGCCACCGUGACCCGAAGUUGCUCCCCUCCCGUCGGCUAGAGCGCUAA
This 423-nucleotide ribosomal RNA is filed under the name Triticum aestivum (bread wheat). Its description in RNAcentral is "partial small subunit ribosomal RNA". Lineage: Eukaryota; Viridiplantae; Streptophyta; Magnoliopsida; Poales; Poaceae. The record is from RNAcentral.